Rhipicephalus microplus (southern cattle tick) is the source of this 383-nucleotide long non-coding RNA. The record is from RefSeq and is a predicted model, not a curated record. Lineage: Eukaryota; Metazoa; Arthropoda; Arachnida; Ixodida; Ixodidae.
GCCAAACAGAACCUUGCCUGCUUACACUCCGCGGUGCUGCAUGCUGGAGAACGGUGUCGCGGUUGAAAGAGAAGUGCACAGGGAGCAAGUAGGCCCUCUGGUAGUUGUAGAAGGCGCACUCCGUGAUGACUUGAGCACCAAGGCAUUGGAUGGUUGCAGCCACCACGCAGCCCUAGUAGAGCAUGCCAGCGGCCAGGAGAAAGUUGCCGGCUCCAGCGCCACUUCCUCGAACAAGUGGCUGGCUUCUCCACCGGAGCUUGUGCAGUUGCUCGCCCCUCUACAACGACCAGAGUUCGCAUGAUGCUGAAGUUCAGGUUGCCAACAACUUGGCCACAUAUGGAGCAGUUCAUCAGUUCAAAUACAAUGAACUUUCAUUCCCUGUG